GGAAUAUUGGGCAAUGGGCGCAAGCCUGACCCAGCAACGCCGCGUGAAGGAAGAAGGCCCUCGGGUUGUAAACUUCUUUUAUUCGGGACGAAGAAGUGACGGUACCGAAUGAAUAAGCCACGGCUAACUACGUGCCAGCAGCCGCGGUAAUACGUAGGUGGCAAGCGUUAUCCGGAUUUACUGGGCGUAACGCGCACGCAGGCGGUUUGUUAAGUCAGAUGUGAAAUCCCCGGGCUCAACCUGGGAACUGCAUCUGAUACUGGCAAGCUUGAGUCUCGUAGAGGGGGGUAGAAUUCCAGGUGUAGCGGUGAAAUGCGUAGAGAUCUGGAGGAAUACCGGUGGCGAAGGCGGCCCCCUGGACGAAGACUGACGCUCAGGUGCGAAAGCGUGGGGAGCAAACAGGA
RNAcentral lists this unclassified non-coding RNA (404 nucleotides) under plant metagenome. RNAcentral describes it as "partial contains 5.8S ribosomal RNA, internal transcribed spacer 2, and large subunit ribosomal RNA". It matches the Rfam family "Bacterial small subunit ribosomal RNA", at positions 358 to 777 of the family's 1533-position model. The record is from RNAcentral.